UUAGCGGCGGACGGGUGAGUAACACGUGGAUAACCUACCUAUAAGACUGGGAUAACUUCGGGACACCGGAGCUAAUACCGGAUAACAUGUUGAACCGCAUGGUUCAACAGUGAAAGACGGUCUUGCUGUCACUUAUAGAUGGAUCCGCGCCGCAUUAGCUAGUUGGUAAGGUAACGGCUUACCAAGGCAACGAUGCGUAGCCGACCUGAGAGGGUGAUCGGCCACACUGGAACUGAGACACGGUCCAGACUCCUACGGGAGGCAGCAGUAGGGAAUCUUCCGCAAUGGGCGAAAGCCUGACGGAGCAACGCCGCGUGAGUGAAGAAGGUCUUCGGAUCGUAAAACUCUGUUAUUAGGGAAGAACAAAUGUGUAAGUAACUAUGCACGUCUUGACGGUACCUAAUCAGAAAGCCACGGCUAACUACGUGCCAGCAGCCGCGGUAAUACGUAGGUGGCAAGCGUUAUCCGGAAUUAUUGGGCGUAAAGCGCGCGUAGGCGGUUUUUUAAGUCUGAUGUGAAAGCCCACGGCUCAACCGUGGAGGGUCAUUGGAAACUGGAAAACUUGAGUGCAGAAGAGGAAAGUGGAAUUCCAUGUGUAGCGGUGAAAUGCGCAGAGAUAUGGAGGAACACCAGUGGCGAAGGCGACUUUCUGGUCUGUAACUGACGCUGAUGUGCGAAAGCGUGGGGAUCAAACAGGAUUAGAUACCCUGGUAGUCCACGCCGUANACGAUGAGUGCUAAGUGUUAGGGGGUUUCCGCCCCUUAGUGCUGCAGCUAACGCAUUAAGCACUCCGCC
RNAcentral lists this ribosomal RNA (795 nucleotides) under uncultured bacterium. RNAcentral describes it as "bacterial SSU rRNA". It matches the Rfam family "Bacterial small subunit ribosomal RNA", at positions 92 to 873 of the family's 1533-position model. The record is from RNAcentral.